CAAAUAGUGCGUGAAACCGUUGGGAGGGAAGCGAAUGAGGCCGGCUUGGUCCUCUGCGGGUACAGGCAGGUCGAUGAGCGCCCUCCGGCCGAGGGAUCCCUGUGGGACCCGUCGCCGGUGGGACCGCUCGUCGCCCUAUGCCGCACUCCCGCGUGGACCAGUCAGCGGCAGUUUCUGGCGUGCCAGGCGCCCAGCGGGCAGGUGGCCGAGACCCUCGGGCCUCGGCUCUGGCCCAUGGAGCGCGACGCGGCAGAGACUGAGGAGAGUGGCGGCCCUCGCCCGAGCAGCGCAAGCCGCAAGGCCGGACGGCUGUCACGACUGCGUCGGACCGCUGGGGACUGCGUGCAGUGCCCUUCGAGCGAGAUGCGGGCGUGGCGGCGCAGUCACGAUGUGUGCUGAGGUCGCUGGCGCCCAGCCGGUCCCAUCCGA
Molecule: small RNA, 429 nt
Filed under: Suberea sp. GW9944
Lineage: Eukaryota; Metazoa; Porifera; Demospongiae; Verongiida; Aplysinellidae
Also listed under: 14 other names
Description: partial large subunit ribosomal RNA
Source: RNAcentral